This 253-nucleotide ribosomal RNA is filed under the name uncultured bacterium. RNAcentral's name for it is "partial 16S ribosomal RNA". It matches the Rfam family "Bacterial small subunit ribosomal RNA", at positions 524 to 776 of the family's 1533-position model. The record is from RNAcentral.
GACGAACCGAGCGAACGUUAUUCGGAAUCACUGGGCUUAAAGGGCGCGUAGGCGGGCGGUCAAGUCCGGGGUGAAAGCCCCCAGCUCAACUGGGGAAGUGCCUCGGAUACUGGUCGCCUCGAGGGAGAUGGGGGCGUGCGGAACUUCCGGUGGAGCGGUGAAAUGCGUAGAUAUCGGAAGGAACACCGGUGGCGAAAGCGGCGCGCUGGAUCUCUUCUGACGCUGAGGCGCGAAAGCCAGGGGAGCGAACGGG